This 253-nucleotide ribosomal RNA is filed under the name uncultured bacterium. RNAcentral describes it as "partial 16S ribosomal RNA". It matches the Rfam family "Bacterial small subunit ribosomal RNA", at positions 524 to 776 of the family's 1533-position model. The record is from RNAcentral.
UACAUGGGGUGCAAACGUUGCUCGGAAUCAUUGGGCGUAAAGCGCGCGUAGGCGGUUGCUUAAGUCGGAUGUGAAAGCCCUCGGCUUAACUGAGGAAGUGCAUCCGAAACUGAGCAGCUAGAGUACGAAAGAGGGUCGCGGAAUUCCCGGUGUAGAGGUGAAAUUCGUAGAUAUCGGGAGGAACGCCGGUGGCGAAGGCGGCGACCUGGGUCGAGACUGACGCUGAGGCGCGAAAGCGUGGGGAGCAAACAGG